CCCUUGUAUUAAAAUAAAUUAAAAUUAGUAUAUAAUGAAAUUUAAUAAUUUUUGGCGGUUAAUUAUUAUUUAGAGGAGCUUGUAUUAUUAAUAGAAUUAGCUCUUUAUAUCUAAAUAAUAAAUAAUAUAUUCAUCUCCGUUAUAAAAUGUUAAAUUGAAUUAUAAAUUUUUGUUAUUAAAUUUCAGGUCAAGAUGUAGUAUUUAUUAGGGAAUAUUAGCUACAGUUAUGAAAUGUAUGGUUUAUAAAAAAGAAUUUUAAUAAUAAAUUGAAUUUAAUUGUAAUUAUGAUUAAAAUAUUAUAAUGAAUGGGAAUAGUUAAUGUAUAUAUUGCCCGUCACUUCUAUUUAAGGG
This 351-nucleotide ribosomal RNA is filed under the name Mischonyx processigerus. RNAcentral describes it as "partial small subunit ribosomal RNA". Lineage: Eukaryota; Metazoa; Arthropoda; Arachnida; Opiliones; Gonyleptidae. The record is from RNAcentral.